RNAcentral lists this unclassified non-coding RNA (619 nucleotides) under uncultured bacterium. Its description in RNAcentral is "partial contains 16S ribosomal RNA, 16S-23S ribosomal RNA intergenic spacer, and 23S ribosomal RNA". The stretch from base 489 to 619 matches the Rfam family "Bacterial large subunit ribosomal RNA", at positions 1 to 130 of the family's 2925-position model. The record is from RNAcentral.
UGCGGCUGGAUCCCCUCCUUUCUAGAGCAACACAAUCUGCCAAGUAUCCACAACCUAUCGGUUGUUUGUAGUAUCACUGCACAGACGGAGGGUCUGUAGCUCAGUCGGUUAGAGCACCGUCUUGAUAAGGCGGGGGUCGUUGGUUCGAUUCCAACCAGACCCACCAACGUUUGAAGGACGGGGGAUUAGCUCAGCUGGGAGAGCACCUGCUUUGCAAGCAGGGGGUCGUCGGUUCGAUCCCGUCAUCCUCCACCAAUCCUGCAGAGAUCAUAGGUAAGCAAGAUGCGAUGCGUUUGUGCUUACCUCUGGCCUCUGGACAGAGUGCAGUUUGAUCUUUAACAAAACGGAAGAAGGUUGUGUCUCUGGUGCCGACAACCAAUACCAGAGACACGGUUGUGAUUGCAUCGUGAUUCGUAUUACAGCUAGUACGGAUUCACGAACAUUGAGUUGCCUGUAGCCGGCUCUCGCAAGAGAGUCCAAGGUUAUAGGAUCAAGCGACUAAGUGCAUGUGGUGGAUGCCUUGGCGAUCACAGGCGAUGAAGGACGUGUAAGUCUGCGAAAAGCUACGGGGAGCUGACAAUAGAGCUUUGAUCCGUANAUGUCCGAAUGGGGAAACCCG